CUACAAUCUGUCCCUGGCACCCGCACGUAAAUAUCCACUGUACAAUUAGUAAAACUAGGAGUGUAUCAGCAUUCUCUAUACUUUCUAAGUAAGUUACUAAUUGUGGUACAAAUGAAUAACUUUAAAAAAAGUCAAAUGAAUGAGGGACUGGUUUUCCCUUCAGGCUCAUAGCAGGAUGAUUAGAUGUUAGAGGGAGAGUGUGUAUGCCAAAUACAUUAAGGUUGUGGGAACUUUGUUCUCUUCCCUGCCAAAGAUUAAAUAAUGCAUGAACCCCCGAGAUUAGUCUCGGUGUGUGGCAAUUCCGUCUAAAUACUAUAUCACUAAAUGGGGUGCCUUCAAAGCAGCACUGUCACACGCACAAUCCACAAAAUUAGUAUUUCAUAAAGAUAGAAUCUUUCUAAUAUAGUCAUUUUGACUGUGAUGGAAUUUUGAAAUUCCAACCCAGUCAAGAGAUAUACAGAGAUAAAGCAGGGACUACUGUAUUUCUCUUCAGCCUGACUUUCUUAAACUCCGGAUGGAGCUGGAGUGUCAACCUCGACAGGUGUCACCAGUGGCUUCAUCAAUGGUGGCGGCUGCAGGGAAUUGGCUAUGUCUAUGGUGGAUCACACUUUCUCGCAGAACCCUCCUUAGACCUCAGUGCUGUACUCUUGAGGAUGCAAAAGAGAACAGCAGUGUUGUCGGCUAGCUGAUGAGUAGCAGACAGA
Non-coding RNA from Pelobates cultripes (western spadefoot toad), 704 nucleotides. NCBI's taxonomy places the organism in Eukaryota, Metazoa, Chordata, Amphibia, Anura, Pelobatidae. The record is from the annotation of a GenBank genome assembly.